RNAcentral lists this unclassified non-coding RNA (286 nucleotides) under Hevea brasiliensis (rubber tree). The record is from RNAcentral. Lineage: Eukaryota; Viridiplantae; Streptophyta; Magnoliopsida; Malpighiales; Euphorbiaceae.
UGCUAGGCUAUGGAGAGGCACAAAUGCUGGUCUGGCCCUGGCUGUACCAACGGUGGGAAUCUAUCUACCAUGCUAUGAUGUGUUUCGCAGUUGGAUGGAGGAUUUUACCUCCCAGAAUAUUCCUGGUGCAACACCAUAUGUGCCUUUAGUAGCAGGUUCAUUGGCACGUUCUUUAGCUUGUGCAACUUGUUAUCCUGUUGAACUUGCAAGAACUCGCAUGCAGGCAUUUAAAGCAGCCCAAAUUAGUAAACCUCCCGGAGUUUGGAAAACUCUGUUGGAGGUCCUC